GUGCAGCAGGCGAGAAUCGUGGACAAUGGGCGAAAGCCUGAUCCCGCGACGCCGCGUGGGGGAAGAAGGCCUUCGGGUCGUAAACCCCUGUCAGGGAGGACGAAGGGUAGCUUGGCGAAUAGCCUUGCUACCUUGACGGUACUCCCAGAGGGAAGCCCCGGCUAACUACGUGCCAGCAGCCGCGGUAAUACGUAGGGGGCGAGCGUUGCUCGGAUUUACUGGGCGUAAAGGGGGCGUAGGCGGCCUCGCAAGUCGGUGGUGAAAGCCCUCGGGACUCAACCGAGGAAUUACCACCGAAACUGCGAGGCUUGAGGGCAGGAGAGGGGGCGGAAUUCCCGGUGUAGCGGUGAAAUGCGUAGAUA
RNAcentral lists this ribosomal RNA (362 nucleotides) under uncultured microorganism. RNAcentral describes it as "bacterial SSU rRNA". It matches the Rfam family "Bacterial small subunit ribosomal RNA", at positions 346 to 696 of the family's 1533-position model. The record is from RNAcentral.